RNAcentral lists this unclassified non-coding RNA (200 nucleotides) under Helotiales sp. RNAcentral describes it as "partial internal transcribed spacer 2". Lineage: Eukaryota; Fungi; Ascomycota; Leotiomycetes; Helotiales. The record is from RNAcentral.
UUAAGUUCAGCGGGUAUCCCUACCUGAUCCGAGGUCAACCGUGAGAGGGGUCGCUGGCGGGCGCCGCCCAGGGCCGGUAGCGAGGGGUUGUACUACGCUCCGGCACCUGGUCGCACCGCCACUAGCUUUGGGGCCCGCCAGCCGGCAGGCCCAGGACCAGCAGGGCUGGAUAGGCUAUAAUGAGCGCUCGAACAGGCAUG